Molecule: long non-coding RNA, 2932 nt
Organism: Oryzias javanicus (javanese ricefish)
Lineage: Eukaryota; Metazoa; Chordata; Actinopteri; Beloniformes; Adrianichthyidae
Source: Ensembl
GUCUAUCAGGUUUACAGAAACCAAGUUAGAUGCUUCCUGGGAACAAACGUUCAAAGGGCUGACGAGUUUCCGUGUGUCGACUUGAGGCGAAGGUCCAGUCUGCAGCUUUCUACUUCAAAACUCGAAAGAGAGGGUCAGACUUUUUUUGGCUUAAGCAUAAAAAAAACCUCACCUCCCAGUCAACUAAAAGGACUUGGAGCUUCUCCCUCUCCAACAGUGGUGGACCAGCGAAUCUGCUCCGCGUUUUGUCAGAAACGGCACGGUACCGGUGGCGUAAGAACCUUCCGAGGAGCAGCGCGUGCUGCGACAAAGACUCCACACAGUUUGUACUGUGACCAAAGAUGGCACAAGAGCUCAGUCCACAAAAAGAGUGUGGUCAAUGACAAAAAAAGAAAAAAAAAUUGACACUUUGGACACAACUUCAACACUCGCCUUAUAGUUUUUUCUUGAGCCCAUUUAUUGUCAGGAUUGUAAAUUGUUUUUGGUAUAUUUUUCCUUCCUUUUUAAAACUUAAACUAACACAAAAGCUUUUUUCUGUAUAAAGAAAAUGGGAAUAACUUUAAAAAAAAGGGGGGUAAAUUACCAGGAAGCUGUUCCACUUUCACAGAUUUGACUAUAAACUUCACAAGUUCUUAUAUAUUGAAAUCUUAGAGCAGGUAUAAUGUUUGUACUUGAUAAAGCUGGUUUGAUUUUAAACAAGGACAUUUCCAAAAAAAAUUUUAAAAACAAAUAAAUAAAAAUUCCAUGAUUUAAUUCUGCAAAAAAGAAAAAGAAAAGCAGCCUUUCAGAGUACUCAUAUUUUCAUGCAUGCUCUUCACAUUAUUUUAAGUACAGUUUUUACACUAUAUUCAAAGAACAAAUAAAACCCUUUAUCUGUGUACUCAUAUAGCCCACAUGUUUGUCAUCCGUUUCAUACUUUGAAUUAAAAGCGGGAGCAUUUAUCACGCUGUGGGUGGAAAAGGUUUGAACAGCUUCUUCAGGUUGUGGUGUCUCGUCUUUCUGUGUAAAUCCGGAGGACAGCUUCUUCUGCAAAAGAGAGGCGAUCUGAAUGUAAAUGCUAGUCGGCCGGCUCGCUGUAAAAUUAUAAAUGUACUGUGUGUAUUGGCUGUAAGGUGUAGGAGUCUCUGUUCACCAUUAGACUGUCUGUAAUCAUUUUGUGUCAUUUGGGUUUUUUUUUUUUGUUUUUGUUUUUUAAAGGCUGCAGUGGUGAUAAAGGAAAACUGGGGCAUUUCACUUUGGAUUUUUUUGGUGAAGUAUUUCCUUGAUUUUAAAAGCUAUUCACAUUAAGGACACAAAGCUAUUAUUUGAUUGUAGCUCUUAAAUAGCAUAAUGUAUGAAAAAAACACUGGAUGGUCGAAAACGAUAAUUUAAGCAUCGAAUAAAUUGUGAUUUACUCUGAAACUGUGUGAUCUCUUUAGACUUGAGAGUGUAUAUGCAGUGUCUAAUAGAACUGUUUUCGCUAGCUCACUGAAAAGAAAAAAAAAUACUUUAUUUUAGGGAUCUUUGUAUUGAUUUUCAUUAGAUGCCAUGUAGUUCAUGUGUGGUGUUCUACUGAUUUGAUGCCGAUGCCUAUGCUGUUGGCACCGGAAACUAUAUAACUUUUUUAAGGGGGUGUUAAGGAAGCCACAUGGGGUGCUAAACGUCACCCUCUUACACAACUACAUCAAUCAGGGGUUAGAUUAUCCUUUAAUAUGGUUGAACGAUCAAUGAAACUGUCAACUUUGUUUGAUAUGUGUUUUCACCUGAGCAGAUUUUUUGAUGUACAAUUCUUACUAACAGAGUGAAGCCAUUGAAAUGUAACUAUUCUAGCACUUUGGUUAUUCAAUUUUAGAGACUAUAGCAGCAAAGAUGCCAUCACAAAUGUUUGAGACGUCUUUCAAAAAAAAGAAAAAAAAAACUUAACAAUAAAAAUGCAUUGAUUUUGCAGUACGUGUGUUUUUUAUUUUAUUUUUCUUCGUGUCAGAAUCAUUUUUACUCUUUGUUGAGAUGUAAUGAUGUCCAAAUGACAGGAAUUUUUAACAACAGGGCAUUUCUGAGUAAAGAGAUGGACUUGAAUAUUUUAGAGUUCAUCAAUAGUUCAAGUCAAGGCCCGGGGGCCAGCUCCGCCCCCCUGGGUAAUUAUUUGAGUAAAAUAUUGAAAGUUAUUUAAGGUUUAAGUUGAUUUAUUCUGGAGUAAUAUUCCUGCCUUUUUAUUAUUCAUAACUUUGUUAAAAAUUUACAGUUUAAAAAAUUGUCAUUCUGCUAGUUUUUUUUUAACUAGUUUGGCAUUUACUACAACUUUUUUUAGGCUAUUUUGGAGUUUAUUUGUCCAUUAUUUGUUGCACAUUUUAUUUUUAUGUUGUGUUCAAGCUAAGAAAUAAAUAGGGAUAUAUUUUCCUGAAAAAGAUAUGUUCUUCUGUAUAAUGUGAGUUAUUAGAGCUGUUUUUUUUAACCAAUAAUCACAGUAUUGCGAUUGAUUGGUCUCGUGAACCAUGCUUCGUAUUGUGAGGUACUCGGUGAUUCCCAGCACAAGCUCUAGCAUUCUGAAUGAGCCACAAUAUUUGAAGAUUCUGUAACAUUCACUCAGCCAGCAUUAGAUGACAUCAUAAAUCUGCUUUUAAAAUUAUUCGUUGCUAUGGGGUUUUAAAAAUUAGAAAUGUGACACGAAGAAUUAUGAAAACUCAGAGAGAGAAGUGUUCUUAGCCAUCCAACUACAACAAAAGCAUUAAAAGUGUUAAUGAAGACUUGGCAUAAGAAAUAUUUAAUUAAAGGGUUAACCAUAAUAUUUGUAUUAGAAUUGACAGUUACAGUUGCAACAGUAUAAUAAAUGCCAUGAAAUUAAGGUAAACUUUCAUUUUUAUUAAGUCAUUCCUUUUAACUAUUAUAUUAUGUUUUUUAAUUAUAUGUAUUUUGUAAUUUUUGUACUUAUAUCAAAUUUACAAAUGGGUUUGCU